Molecule: ribosomal RNA, 499 nt
Filed under: uncultured bacterium
Lineage: Bacteria
Description: partial 16S ribosomal RNA
Rfam family: Bacterial small subunit ribosomal RNA
Source: RNAcentral
AUUGAACGCUGGCGGCAUGCCUUACACAUGCAAGUCGAACGGCAGCACGGGAGCAAUCCUGGUGGCGAGUGGCGAACGGGUGAGUAAUAUAUCGGAACGUGCCCAGUCGUGGGGGAUAACGCAGCGAAAGCUGUGCUAAUACCGCAUACGAUCUAUGGAUGAAAGCGGGGGAUCGCAAGACCUCGCGCGAUUGGAGCGGCCGAUAUCAGAUUAGGUAGUUGGGGGGGUAAAGCCCACCAAGGCGGAGAUCUGUAGCUGGUCUGAGAGGACGACCAGCCACACUGGAACUGAGACGCGGUGCAGACUCCUACGGGAGGCAGCAGUGGGGAAUUUUGGACAAUGGGCGCAAGCCUGAUCCAGCAAUGCCGCGUGGAGGAUGAAGGCCUUCGGGUUGUAAACUGCUUUUGUACGGAACGAAACGGUCUGCCCUAAUACGGUGGGCUAAUGACGGUACCGUAAGAAUAAGCACCGGCUAACUACGUGCCAGCAGCCGCCGUAA